This 68-nucleotide transfer RNA is filed under the name Parasutterella secunda. It matches the Rfam family "tRNA". Rfam says of the family: Transfer RNA (tRNA) molecules are approximately 80 nucleotides in length. Lineage: Bacteria; Pseudomonadati; Pseudomonadota; Betaproteobacteria; Burkholderiales; Sutterellaceae. RNAcentral also lists the same sequence under 3 other names. The record is from RNAcentral.
CGGUUUAGCUCAGUUGGUAGAGCAGCGCAUUCGUAAUGCGAAGGUCGGGAGUUCAAGUCUUCUAACCG